CCGGGCGGCGGGAGGAAGGGAGGACGCGCCCGGGCAUCGCUGCCGGGCUUUUGGGUUCCUGCCGAAUCGACGCCCUCCCCUCUCCCUCCCUUCUCCCCCCCUCGUCCUUCCCACGCGCUCCCGCCUGGCCUGCGCCUCCCCUCCCUUCCCUUCUCCCUCCCAUCCCGCAGCAAACAAAAUGGCUGCUGCAUGGCCAUUUUGUUUUCCGUCUGGAAAGGGGGAAGCCAGGACGCUGAGACUUGGCUCUUUUUUGGAGCCCAACUCUCCCGUCUCUACGUGGCACCGGCUGUAGUGAGAGAGGGGAAAAAAAAGAGCGAGAGAGAGAAAAAAAAGGACCUUUUGGAACGAGACCAAAGUCAGAGGCAGAGAGUGGGUAGUUUUGGCGUAUGUUGAGCACUGAAAAUGCCUGGAAUUGCCAAACUGAGCUUUUGUACUAGCAGCGUAACGGCUACCCGGUGCCUGCAGCGUCGCAGGGCUGCACGGUAUAGCCGGACGGAAAGGUUUGUUCGCUAUACUAAAUAAAACAGCCCUCCUUUCUUCUGUGUUUAUAAAGUACCAGAGAGCACUGUUGUCUCAUUUGCUUUUGGACGGGCGGAUGGCUUUACACAUCGGCUUGGUAUGAUUAGAGCUGGUCAGUGCCGGACGGUAACGUUUUAACCUGUUGUGUGUCCUCUUGCUGUUGGUGACUCUGAUACCCGACCUGGAUUUAACUGAUGUGAUCCGGAGGAUCGGCUUGGUUUUCUGUAGGCAUUUCUCUUUUGUUUACUGCCUUCUUGCCUCGAAAGUUUUCCUCUCAGGAAUACAAAAUCUUAAUUUAAAUGUUAAAAGAAAGAGCUGUUCCUGGCUUUUUUUUUUUUUUUUUUUUUUAAGCCCUCGCUUUUCUCACGGGGAUGGAGCUGAACUGUGUUCACAAGCUGCUUACUGCACCAGCCUGUGUAUCCUGCACACGUUAAGGUGUGAUACACGACAGAGACGCCAUCAACAGUAACAUGCCUCGAAAAGUUUAAGGGAACUUGGUGCUGUUACCAUACAAUUUUGCGCAGAAGCAUGGCAAAAAUACCACAGAAUGUGCCAAAUAAAAGUGAUUUGUUUUUUGGUUCUUUCAAGUGAAUCUGCGUUUCCUGCCGUAGCCUGGAUGUCUUGGAGGUAGUGGCCACGUCUCUUCGCUCGCAGCCGUUCGGAUCUCAGUCAAGUGGCAUGGGUGGGAUCGGGCUCUGCUCAGGCAUCGCUGUUGGAGCCAUCGUCCUGCCUUCCCCUGAGGGGCUGCCCAGCCAUCGGGAGAGGAGCGGACGCUUGCAGAGAGGAGCUGGGAGCAGAAAGAGGUGAAAUCGCUUUUCUCGCACAGAAAGGAGCUUCGGAGUAGCCAACACCUGAAUCAGGAUCAUCUCACUGCCUUAGAGUGCCAUGGUCCCAAGCUGUCCUUGAGGCUGAGGUAGUAGAUUGAAUAGUUGUGGAGUCCGGUCCUCCCUUUGAGCUAACUAUACAAUCUACUGUCUUUCCUAAGGAGACAGUCAGGUCUUCAGUUCUCAUCUUCUACACCAGGCGUGGAGGCAGGUGGUGCGAGUAAUGCAAAGCCAGUGAUACGGCGUGCGUCAGCCAAGACCUCUGUACUGCUCUGUGGAGGUGAGGUAGUAGGUUGUAUAGUUUGGUGGGAGGGAUUUUAUCCCAUUUCAGGUGAUAACUAUACAGUCUAUUGCCUUCCUUAAAGAGCAGCAAAACCUCUGGAGGACUGGCUCAGCCACGUUGGUCCUGAGGCAUCACUUCUCUCUGUUGAGGGUCCCAAAACACAGCACAGCAUUGUCGAACAGCUCGGUGGCUCUUCUCUUACAGCACCCAGGACUGUGUUCUUCCAGGGACUGCUCCAUGCCUCAGCUAUGCGUAUGGAGCCACCCUCCUGCAUAAAAUCAAUCUGUUUCAUGGGUGCAAGAGAAACAAUGAAUUGAGCUGGUGCAUCA
This is a long non-coding RNA of Pezoporus flaviventris, 1955 nucleotides long. RefSeq lists it as uncharacterized. Lineage: Eukaryota; Metazoa; Chordata; Aves; Psittaciformes; Psittacidae. The transcript has 2 exons. The record is from RefSeq and is a predicted model, not a curated record.